RNAcentral lists this ribosomal RNA (282 nucleotides) under uncultured bacterium. Its description in RNAcentral is "partial 16S ribosomal RNA". It matches the Rfam family "Bacterial small subunit ribosomal RNA", at positions 69 to 353 of the family's 1533-position model. The record is from RNAcentral.
GUAACAUUUCUAGCUUGCUAGAAGAUGACGAGCGGCGGACGGGUGAGUAAUGCUUGGGAACAUGCCUUGAGGUGGGGGACAACAGUUGGAAACGACUGCUAAUACCGCAUAAUGUCUACGGACCAAAGGGGGCUUCGGCUCUCGCCUUUAGAUUGGCCCAAGUGGGAUUAGCUAGUUGGUGAGGUAAUGGCUCACCAAGGCGACGAUCCCUAGCUGGUUUGAGAGGAUGAUCAGCCACACUGGGACUGAGACACGGCCCAGACUCCUACGGGAGGCAGCACA